CUCUCACUGUGAAACUUCUUGCAAGUUUUCACAGCAACAAAGAUGUCUUCCUUCUUUACAGGCUCCCCCUGUAAGAAAAGCAGGAAUAUAAGAAUUAGACAUAUAUUUUAGGGCCCAGAGUUUUUCCUGGUCAGGUCACAUGAUCAGGAAAAACACUGGUCUCUAGUUAUGAAACAUACAUCCUAAGAGGGGAGCUGUUAUCGUUGUUGAAGCACCACUAACUUUUUCAAAUUCCCUGCCUGUGUUGAAGAGACCUUGUGAAUCUUGACACGUUCCUCAAGAUGACACAUGCGGUAUUAUUAGGUUAUUAUUUGAGAGUGAACUGUAAAUUGGCCAUCUUUAUUUAGGUGAUCAGUUCUCCUGCAUGUCUGUCUGUGGCUCUCAGGCUGAUGCCAGAGGGAGGCCAUACACCCUGCUUAUAGACUGUCCUCAGCCUCUCUGAGUAGUAUACUAUAAAGGGAAUAGGGUGCAAUUUGGGAUGCAGCCCUGUGAGUUUUCUCUGUCUUCUCGACAUAUUAAAGCUCUGGCCAGGUUAGUGGGAAGAUGUGGAGAAAAGGUACGAGGGAGGAAGGGUAGGAGAAAGACUAAAAGAAGAGAGCUAGCAUAUUCAUAGAUCAGAGGGGGAGAAAGGGUAGGAGGGAGGAAGGGUAGGAGGGAGACUAAAAGGAGAUAACCAGCAUAGUCAUAGAUCAGAGGGGGAGGGAGGAAGGGUAGAAGGGAGACCAAAAGGAGAGAGCCAGCAUAGUCAUAGAUCAGCAGGGGAGAAAGGGUAGGAGGGGGGAAGGGUAGGAGGGGGACUAAAAGGAGAUAACCUGCAUAGUCAUAGAUCAGAGGGGGAGAAAUGGUAGGAGGGAGAAAGGGUAGGAGAUGGACUAAAAGGAGAGAGCCAACCAGCAUAGUCAUAGAUAAGAGGGGACAAAGGGUAGGAAGGAGGAAGGGUAAGAGGGAGACUAAAAGGAGAUAACCAGCAUAGUCAUAGAUCAGAGGGAGAGGGAGGAAGGGUAGGAGGGAGACUAAAAGGAGAUAACCAGCAUAGUCAUAGAUCAGAGGGGGAGGGAGGAAGGGUAGGAGGGAGACCAAAAGGAGAGAGCCAACCAGCAUAGUCAUAGAUCAGAGGGGACAAAGGGUAGGAGGGAGGAAGGGUAGGAGGGGGACUAAAAAGAGAGAGCCAACCAGCAUAGUCAUAGAUCAGAGGGGGAGAAAGGGUUUGGAGGGAGUACGAAAAUGUAUGUACUCACUACUGUAAGUCACUCUGGUUAAGAGUGUCUGCUAAAAGACUAAAACAUAAUUUAAAUGUAAUACAAUUAGGGAGGAAUGGUAGGAGGGAGGAAGGGUAGAAGAAAGACUAAAAGGAGAGAGCCAGGAGAAAGAGUAAAAGGAGAGAGGGCACCUUGUUCUCUCUGAGCACUUUAUCAAAUGUUCAGAUCAGGCUGAGGAAAGGCAACACUUCCAGGGGUACAAGUCAGACAGACUGACAGGCACCAAGAACAGAGGGCAUAUAUUAAGCGUAUCUGAGUUCAAACUAAUAGGCCAGAGCUCAACACAGUGGUUUGUGUUGGGUGGGCAGCGGCAGUCCUCAAUGGCCAUGUUGCUGGCAUCACACUUUUCAGCACUUCACACCUGAUUUAAAUGAACGAAUAACUACUUUUUAUUUUAGCCCACAAUUGGAUUCAUCAGGUGUACUGCUGUGGGGCUGGAGAAAAGGUGUGACACCAACACGGCUCUUGAGGGCUGCAGCUGCCCGCCGCUAUGAGACGGAAUUCCAGUAUGGAGGGUGUAGCCUGCUGAAGAGUGUCUCACCCAGGAAUGUAAAGUACUGGAAGAGGAUUUGAGAGUUCUUUAAAAUAUCGCUUGAGGGAGAAAGAAGAUUUGAGCAAUAAGGUCAUCCUGAGAUUCCUCUCCAACUUUCUGAUAGUUUGCAUGCAUAUAGACUGACUUAAUCAUCGUUCCUGGGGGGUGGAGCAGACUUGGGUCCAAAGCAUGCAUCUUUUUCCUCCAAAAUACUUGGUUUUAGUGGGUGGUGUUGGCACUUUUGGGACUAUUCCAUUGGUGCAAUUCCAUUUAAACCCCAAUCAAGUGCACCAAGUAAGAAAGCUGAAACAAAAAAAAUACUAUUAUUUCGACCAAGAUCUGUGGUGAACAAUAGACCUGUGAUGUACAGUAUGCACAACUUGGUACCUACACACAGGGGAGCAGGUCUCCUGAGCGUGGUAGCACAGUGUUGGGCAGUGGGAGAGUGUUCUGGCUCAGUACACAGCUCUGGGACUGCCGUCAGACGAGGCCCUUG
This 2287-nucleotide long non-coding RNA is filed under the name Salmo salar (Atlantic salmon). RNAcentral describes it as "lncRNA (ENSSSAG00000092838.1)". The stretch from base 1230 to 1283 matches the Rfam family "UnaL2 LINE 3' element". The record is from RNAcentral. Lineage: Eukaryota; Metazoa; Chordata; Actinopteri; Salmoniformes; Salmonidae.